This 87-nucleotide transfer RNA is filed under the name Patescibacteria group bacterium. Its description in RNAcentral is "tRNA-Ser". It matches the Rfam family "tRNA". From Rfam's summary of the family: Transfer RNA (tRNA) molecules are approximately 80 nucleotides in length. Their secondary structure includes four short double-helical elements and three loops (D, anti-codon, and T loops). The record is from RNAcentral.
GGAAGGGUGGCUGAGUGGUUUAAGGCGACAGUCUUGAAAACUGUUGAGGGUGCAAGCCCUCCGUGAGUUCGAAUCUCACCCCUUCCG